RNAcentral lists this long non-coding RNA (1835 nucleotides) under Homo sapiens (human). RNAcentral's name for it is "long independently transcribed non-coding RNA 2436, transcript variant 2 (LINC02436)". Lineage: Eukaryota; Metazoa; Chordata; Mammalia; Primates; Hominidae. The record is from RNAcentral.
AGAGCCUCAAAGAGCACCCAGCAUAACUGUGGGAGAAUAGUAAGCAUUGGACACAAAAUGGUUUAGGCAAAUAAUGAUGAACAAAAAUGGUCAGUCUGUGUUCCUGCUGACCCAGCACAGUGGGGACGCUGUGUAGGACAUGACCUUUGGGGGAAAGGACACAAGAACUCAGCGUGGGGGAUCCAGAAAAGAAGUCGCACGUAUUGAAGCCAGUAACGCCAAGCCAGUGAAUUCUCCUUGACGAGAAAGACCCACUUACUCUGCAGAAGAGAUAUAUGACAGCUGACAAUCCCUGGAGGAGAAUCUUUCUACUAAAUUGUUGAAAACAUUCAAGUACGGAAUAAACUAUUACUGCGAAUACGCUCAUAUGACACAAGAACAAUCUCUGAGCUUCUUUGAGGAUGUCCAGAUGACUGCUGACUGCACUAAUUGCAUCAAUCGUGUAUCCAUACAGGUUCUUUCUAUAAAAUAGUGGUCGCUAGUUAUGAGGCGUUAAGCCUUCAUGGAUAUAAACAGACUAUUCCACCUAAGUGAUCUGGCAGAAGCUUAGUUUUCUACCACAACAUCCACCGUCCUCCCUCCCUCCCUUCCUAGCUGGUCAGAAAAGCUACUCAGAAUAAAGACUACAUUUCCCAGCCAUCUUUGCAGCUAGGUUUAUCCACCUGACUAAAUUCCACCGGCAUCUAUUCAACGAAGACGAAUCCUGGAAUGGGGAUGGAAAUGAUGGCUCAUGUCUUAGCAAACUACCAAACUGAUCCGAGAGGACAGGGAAGUCAGUGUGGGCGGCUCUAAGGAGCCUCCCUCUCUACAGCUGCGGCUCAGAGGAUUACGGCGCUUCAUCCACAAGGCAACAUUGCACAAGUAGCUUUUGAACAAAAGUCAUGGAUACUAUUAAUGAUAUGUUCCCACACACAUUUAGUGUCGUCUCAAAAUUCACGCUGUCAACUGUCUCUAGGAAUCAUUUCCAUCUGAGAACAGACCACACAAAGACACAGUGAAACUCAGUUUCUGCAGAAUUUGAUUUCAUUUGAGUUACUGGGGAACAAAGCAAUUAGACAAUGAAUAAUAGCUCAAGACAGGCUGAAGCUGAAGAUUUCUGCAAAAGAAUGAAGAGGAAACGUUUUGAUCCUGAGCAGAUGUUCUCCCUAGAUUGCUUCACCUGAGGUUGAUUGACUUUUGGAAACGAGAUUUGUUCCCAGUGCUUUGUGAGUCUCUUGUUGGAAGGACUGUCUUUAAAUUAAAGCAAUUAGAGUUACUUUAUAAGAUUUACCCAAAUAUAAGAGCUGAAGAGAAUAAUUCAAAUUGAUCAGAAGAAAAUACUCAAUUACUGACAAAUGUCAAUUACAUCAAUAGCCUAGGCUGCUCUUGAACUCCUGGGCUCAAACGAUCCUCCCCUGUCGGCCUCCCAAAGUGCUGGGAUUACAAGCUUGAACCACCAUGCCCAGCCUCAGAAAUUUUUUAAAUGACAGCUCAUACAGUUUUCUUUUAUAAAGGAGGAGAAAAUGUGUAAUUGUAAGCAGCUGAACUAAAAUAUCUCUGUGACAUUUUGCUGGUGACUCCAGCCCUGUGAGAUCUGAGUGGCUCAGGAAUCAAAUUCUCCCACAAACCUGAGGAAGCCUUUUAUUCUUAAUGCCAACAGGAUGCCCCAUGCCCAGAAUGUCAAAUCUGAACACCAAUGGAAUGCAUUUUAUAAACAAAUUGAAAAAGGACAAUCUUUAACAGAAUUGUUGUUCUCUAGGCAGAUUAGUUGUGCUUCAAAUACAAAAUGAAAUAUUAGAGAACAAAAUUAUUUUUAAACAGCUAAUACUAGUAGAAAAUAAAAGGCUGAAAAGUGC